This 654-nucleotide small RNA is filed under the name Pongo abelii (Sumatran orangutan). Its description in RNAcentral is "retained intron". Lineage: Eukaryota; Metazoa; Chordata; Mammalia; Primates; Hominidae. The record is from RNAcentral.
AACAGCGUGACGUGGGGGUACCAAGAUCUGCGGGAGCGGCGGUCCCGGCUUCAGUUCUAGCCUACCCGGCAGCCUAGACGAGAGCAAGGCGAGAGGUGCUGCCGCCUCCCGUCGCCCCUGCGCUCAGAGGUCCCGAACCAGCCUGGCCGCUACUUCUUGCCGCUCCGCCUUUGGAGUGAGGAGGGCGCAGCUCGCGUCAGAAUUUAGAGGGCCAGGCAGGGUCGCGCGCAUGGCCUGGGCGGGCUCGCGGCGGGUCCCGGCUGGGACGCGCGCGGCAGCCGAGCGCUGCUGCGGGCUCUCGCUCCGCCCGGGCGCGCACCCGGCCCCGCCCCCAGGCCCUCUGCCGCCGCCGCGACCAAUGAGGUUUCUGACCUCCUGCAGCCUCCUCUUGCCUCGGGCUGCCCAGAUCUUGGCGGCUGAGGCUGGCUUACCUUCAAGCCGUUCCUUCAUGGGAUUUGCUGCUCCCUUCACCAACAAGCGAAAGGCUUACUCGGAGCGUAGAAUCAUGGGGUAAGCAUUCUCUCCCUUGCAUCCUUCCACUUCCUCUUUCCCUCCAAAUAACUAUGUCCAGGCAAGAAUGUCAGGGUAUCAUCGGUGGGCAAGAUUCAUCCCUAGCCAUCCCCCUCCCCAGAUACAAUACUGAUCCUCAAUCCU